GAUUUGUCUAUUCUGCCUUUUUGUCUUCUAUUUUCUUUAUUUUUGCUCCUGAACAUUGAUUUGGAGGAUUGUUCCAGGUAGGAUCAACUCCAUAGCUGCAGGGGGCAGUAUAAGGAAAAUGUGAAUCCUAAUCUACCAGGUAGGUAGAUGGGAAGAGGUAUUUGACUAGGUGACAGUGUGCAGGUGGCGGUUUUGUCUGGCAGUCAUGGUGAGCUGAACCACAAACAUUUCAAUGCUUGGAUGACUUCGGUGACGCCAUUGCUUCUGCACACACUGAGACGUACGUAUUACAACAGAGCAGAAAUCCAGGCUGAGGCAGUGAGACAACAUCCCCUGCAUGUUCUGGAAACAUCUAAGAAACCUCUGGAUGGGAUGGAGAUGCUGCAAGAGCAGCUGAGGUCUGCUAACCUCCGUUAGAAAGAACUAAGGCCACGCCCACAACAGUAGGUGGCACUCUUCAUUCAUUUACCCUCCACCAAUCAAUGGAACCACUGGAGUUUCUGAAUUAAAACAAGACGAGCUGUUUGUAGUUUGUUUCUGUUGUGAUAUAUAUGAAUAUCGAAACAGUUUUGAGUGCUCGUCAUGAAACCUAUUUCCUGUUGACGAUGAUGGUAUAUUAUACGCGUCUGUGCGUGGGGAAAAAGCCAUUCAUUGAAACCAAAACAGCCAUUCUUCGGUGGUAUGUUG
Non-coding RNA from Oryzias latipes (Japanese medaka), 687 nucleotides. The record is from RefSeq and is a predicted model, not a curated record. Lineage: Eukaryota; Metazoa; Chordata; Actinopteri; Beloniformes; Adrianichthyidae.